RNAcentral lists this ribosomal RNA (401 nucleotides) under uncultured Methanosaeta sp. RNAcentral's name for it is "bacterial SSU rRNA". It matches the Rfam family "Archaeal small subunit ribosomal RNA", at positions 937 to 1338 of the family's 1478-position model. The record is from RNAcentral. Lineage: Archaea; Methanobacteriati; Methanobacteriota; Methanomicrobia; Methanotrichales; Methanotrichaceae.
CGACAGCAAUAUGAAGGUCAGGCUGAAGACCUUACCCGAUUAGCUGAGAGGUGGUGCAUGGCCGUCGUCAGUUCGUACUGUGAAGCAUCCUGUUAAGUCAGGCAACGAGCGAGACCCACGUCCACAGUUGCCAGCAUACCCUCCGGGGUGAUGGGUACACUGUGGAGACCGCCGCUGCUAAAGCGGAGGAAGGAGUGGGCAACGGUAGGUCAGUAUGCCCCGAAUCUCCCGGGCUACACGCGGGCUACAAUGGUUGGUACAAUGGGCAUCUACCCCGAAAGGGGAAGGAAAUCUCUUAAAGCCAAUCGUAGUUCGGAUUGAGGGCUGCAAUCGCCCUCAUGAAGCUGGAAUCCGUAGUAAUCGCGUUUCAACAGAACGCGGUGAAUACGUCCCUGCUCCUU